AAGAGAUUGGAUUAACGGUUAGAUCGCUGUGCUUACAACACAGAAGUAGAGGUUCGAUUCCUCUAUCUCUUA
This 72-nucleotide transfer RNA is filed under the name Apiotrichum gracile. RNAcentral's name for it is "tRNA-Val". It matches the Rfam family "tRNA". From Rfam's summary of the family: Transfer RNA (tRNA) molecules are approximately 80 nucleotides in length. Their secondary structure includes four short double-helical elements and three loops (D, anti-codon, and T loops). Lineage: Eukaryota; Fungi; Basidiomycota; Tremellomycetes; Trichosporonales; Trichosporonaceae. The record is from RNAcentral.